This is a long non-coding RNA of Gastrolobium bilobum, 956 nucleotides long. RefSeq lists it as uncharacterized. The transcript has 3 exons. The record is from RefSeq and is a predicted model, not a curated record. Lineage: Eukaryota; Viridiplantae; Streptophyta; Magnoliopsida; Fabales; Fabaceae.
CACAGUUAUUAUGGAUUUAAUAUUGAAGGAUAAUUAUAAAGAAAAAGAAAUAAAGUCACCUUUGGUGAAAAAAUGAGUUAAAAUGACAGUCAAGGGGUAAAAAUGCAGAUAAACAAAGUUAUUUGAAAAGUGAAAGUAAAGUUAGAAAUAUGACUGGAAAAAUAUUCUAGUCCAUUGGGUAAAGUUUGGUAAAGAAUAGAGGUGAUUAGAUAGAUAAACUCUUACCCAGUUAAAUUUCACUUAACCUAUGUAAGUCAAAUUUCACUAAAACGCUCGUAUUCUUCUUCUCCACGCGACGACGAUGCAGAGAGUAAAGAGGGAAGGGGAGAAAAAAAAAGAGAAAAGCUUGUGGGAGCUUCAAUCCUUGAUAACUUGAGUUAGGAUUGAUGAAAUCAAUCCAUUCCAAAGCCUAAAGUGUGUCAAAUUUCAUCCUCUACAAAACCCAUAAGAUUGUUCACCAUGGGAAGCUCUUGGGAAGGAGAUUUCAGCCCUCUAAAUCGCAGGUGUACCUAGGGACUGAAAAAGAUCGGAACCUUCUUGAAGAUAUAUAACUAACUUCUGCCACAAGUAAGCGGAUUGAAAAAGCUUCAAGAGGAACACAGUUAAUUGAAGAGCCUCAUGGGACCAGGACACUAACCGUGGCUAGAGGCAUUAGUAUGAGGAUGUGGAGUUCUGGGUGGUCGGAUGCUACUAUUUGUUUUAGACGUAUUUUUGGAAAAGAUGUAUUGUUGCAUAGUGUUCAUAUUCGAUACAUGUACAUUUAUGUAUUCAGGCAUGAUGAUAUGACUAUGUAGUAUUCAGUUAUGUUAUGUAUUGGAUUGCAUGCUAUUAGAUUUGUGGCACGGAGCCAAGUUCAGCAUGCGCCCAUAGAUGGGUAUCUGAGUAUAUUUGCAUGACUGGUACUUCUGGAAAUAUAUAUUGUUUAAACUGUCUAUCAGGAACUCUUGAGAGUGGGA